GAUGAACGCUAGCGGCAGGCCUAAUACAUGCAAGUCGAACGGGAUCCAGAUCAAAGCUUGCUUUGGUUUGGUGAGAGUGGCGUACGGGUGCGUAACGCGUGAGCAACCUACCCUUGUCAGGGGGAUAGCCCGGCGAAAGUCGGAUUAAUACCGCAUGAUAUCAUUGAGAGGCAUCUUUCGAUGAUCAAAGAUUUAUCGGACAAGGAUGGGCUCGCGUGACAUUAGCUAGUUGGUAAGGUAACGGCUUACCAAGGCUACGAUGUCUAGGGGC
Molecule: ribosomal RNA, 271 nt
Filed under: uncultured bacterium
Lineage: Bacteria
Description: partial 16S ribosomal RNA
Rfam family: Bacterial small subunit ribosomal RNA
Source: RNAcentral